RNAcentral lists this unclassified non-coding RNA (664 nucleotides) under Hevea brasiliensis (rubber tree). Lineage: Eukaryota; Viridiplantae; Streptophyta; Magnoliopsida; Malpighiales; Euphorbiaceae. The record is from RNAcentral.
AAAGAGGAAGCAUAAAAUAAACACAAAUUGUACUCCUGCCCCCUCCAACUACAUGGAAGAUUCUGACCUCAGAAGAACAGUUCAUGAUGCAAAUUUAGUGGUAAGAGAUCAGAUAGUAAAGGAAAAUAACAUGGAUAGUAAUUUUGGUCCGGGCAGAUCAAAUGAGUCAGACAAUGCUAGAACUAGACUUGGUGCUCAUUAUGCUGGUUUUUCAAGGAACAAUCAUGUGGAUAGAGCACAUAGCAUGGAUAUUUCUCAUGAGCCUUCCCUUUCUAGGAAUAAUAGAAGUGAUCCCUUUUGGAAUGUUGGAACUGCAAGUGAUAAUUGGCCGAAGACCUUGGAUGAUAGAGUAGGGGGGAAAAAGAGCCAUUUGGACCCUGAUAUUAAUUCUACAAUUGUGUCUGAGCGCUUUGUGAACUCACCCUACAAGAAAAAAGGAAUGCGUAAAGAUGGUAGAUUAUUCAGAAGAGAGAUAAGCGAAAAUGAAUCUAAGUUUCGUACAGGAAUCAUAAGAGAGUUUGAUCAUCAAGAGUCCACUGAUGAUGAUGAUGUAUGCUUCCUUUCUAUGCGUAAAGGAGCAAAUGAAAAAUGUGCUGACAGAUUUCUUAUCCCAACUGCUUCAAAUGGGAACUCCGCCUAUGCCGGAGAUGUAGGUAGACAAAUG